UACGUAGGGGGCAAGCGUUGUCCGGAAUCAUUGGGCGUAAAGGGCGCGUAGGCGGCCUUCUAAGUCGAACGUGAAAUCCCCGGGCUCAACCCGGGAACUGCGUCCGAGACUGGAAGGCUUGAAUCCGGGAGAGGGAUGUGGAAUUCCAGGUGUAGCGGUGAAAUGCGUAGAUAUCUGGAGGAACAUCGGUGGCGAAGGCGGCAUCCUGGACCGGUAUUGACGCUGAGGCGCGAAAGCCAGGGGAGCAAACGGG
RNAcentral lists this ribosomal RNA (253 nucleotides) under uncultured bacterium. RNAcentral describes it as "partial 16S ribosomal RNA". It matches the Rfam family "Bacterial small subunit ribosomal RNA", at positions 524 to 776 of the family's 1533-position model. The record is from RNAcentral.